RNAcentral lists this ribosomal RNA (916 nucleotides) under 'Datura stramonium' phytoplasma. RNAcentral's name for it is "bacterial SSU rRNA". It matches the Rfam family "Bacterial small subunit ribosomal RNA", at positions 276 to 1206 of the family's 1533-position model. The record is from RNAcentral. Lineage: Bacteria; Bacillati; Mycoplasmatota; Mollicutes; Acholeplasmatales; Acholeplasmataceae.
AUGAUGUGUAGCCGGGCUGAGAGGUUGAACGGCCACAUUGGGACUGAGACACGGCCCAAACUCCUACGGGAGGCAGCAGUAGGGAAUUUUCGGCAAUGGAGGAAACUCUGACCGAGCAACGCCGCGUGAACGAUGAAGUAUUUCGGUACGUAAAGUUCUUUUAUAGGGAAGAAUAAAUGAUGGAAAAAUCAUUCUGACGGUACCUAAUGAAUAAGCCCCGGCUAACUAUGUGCCAGCAGCGCGGUAAUACAUAGGGGGCAAGCGUUAUCCGGAAUUAUUGGGCGUAAAGGGUGCGUAGGCGGUUAAAUAAGUUUAUGGUCUAAGUGCAAUGCUCAACAUUGUGAUGCUAUAAAAACUGUUUAGCUAGAGUAAGAUAGAGGCAAGUGGAAUUCCAUGUGUAGUGGUAAAAUGCGUAAAUAUAUGGAGGAACACCAGUAGCGAAGGCGGCUUGCUGGGUCUUUACUGACGCUGAGGCACGAAAGCGUGGGGAGCAAACAGGAUUAGAUACCCUGGUAGUCCACGCCGUAAACGAUGAGUACUAAACGUUGGGUAAAACCAGUGUUGAAGUUAACACAUUAAGUACUCCGCCUGAGUAGUACGUACGCAAGUAUGAAACUUAAAGGAAUUGACGGGACUCCGCACAAGCGGUGGAUCAUGUUGUUUAAUUCGAAGGUACCCGAAAAACCUCCCAGGUCUUGACAUGCUUCUGCAAAGCUGUAGAAACACAGUGGAGGUUAUCAGUUGCACAGGUGGUGCAUGGUUGUCGUCAGCUCGUGUCGUGAGAUGUUGGGUUAAGUCCCGCAACGAGCGCAACCCUUAUUGUUAGUUACCAGCACGUAUGGUGGGGACUUUAGCAAGACUGCCAGUGAUAAAUUGGAGGAAGGUGGGGACGACGUCAAAUCAUCAUGCCCCUAUG